This 502-nucleotide ribosomal RNA is filed under the name uncultured microorganism. RNAcentral describes it as "bacterial SSU rRNA". It matches the Rfam family "Bacterial small subunit ribosomal RNA", at positions 9 to 524 of the family's 1533-position model. The record is from RNAcentral.
GAGUUUGAUCGUGGCUCAGAACGAACGCUGGCGGCGUGGAUAAGACAUGCAAGUCGAACGGGAGAAUUGCUAGCUUGCUAAUAAUUCUCUAGUGGCGCACGGGUGAGUAACACGUGAGUAACCUGCCCCCGAGAGCGGGAUAGCCCUGGGAAACUGGGAUUAAUACCGCAUAGUAUCGAAAGAUUAAAGCAGCAAUGCGCUUGGGGAUGGGCUCGCGGCCUAUUAGUUAGUUGGUGAGGUAACGGCUCACCAAGGCGAUGACGGGUAGCCGGUCUGAGAGGAUGUCCGGCCACACUGGAACUGAGACACGGUCCAGGACACCUACGGGUGGCAGCAGUCGAGAAUCAUUCACAAUGGGGGAAACCCUGAUGGUGCGACGCCGCGUGGGGGAAUGAAGGUCUUCGGAUUGUAAAACCCCUGUCAUGUGGGAGCAAAUUAAAAAGAUAGUACCACAAGAGGAAGAGACGGCUAACUCUGUGCCAACAGCAGCAGCCGCCGUAAU